AAUAUUGCGCAAUGGGGGGGACCCUGACGCAGCGACGCCGCGUGAGCGAUGAAGGCCUUCGGGUCGUAAAGCUCUGUCUUCAGGGAAGAAGAAAGUGACGGUACCUGAGAAGAAAGCGCUGGCCAACGAAGUGCCAGCAGCCGCGGCAAUACGAAGGGGGCGAGCGGUGCCCGGAAUUAUUGGGCGUAAAGGGUGCGUAGGGGGCUUCUUAAGUCAGAUGUGAAAGACCACAGCGUAACUGUGGGGUUGCAUUUGAAACUGGAGAGCUUGAGUUUCGGAGAGGGUAGUGGAAUACCCGGUGUAGCGGUGAAAUGCAUAGAUAUCGGGAGGAACACCAGUGGCGAAGGCGACUACCUGAACGACAACUGACGCUGAGGCACGAAAGCUAGGGGAGCAAACA
This 400-nucleotide ribosomal RNA is filed under the name uncultured bacterium. RNAcentral describes it as "partial 16S ribosomal RNA". It matches the Rfam family "Bacterial small subunit ribosomal RNA", at positions 360 to 774 of the family's 1533-position model. The record is from RNAcentral.